This 551-nucleotide ribosomal RNA is filed under the name uncultured bacterium. RNAcentral describes it as "bacterial SSU rRNA". It matches the Rfam family "Bacterial small subunit ribosomal RNA", at positions 777 to 1325 of the family's 1533-position model. The record is from RNAcentral.
AAUAGAUACCCAGGUAGUCCACGCCGUAAACGAUGAGUGCUAAGUGUUAGGGGGUUUCCGCCCCUUAGUGGCUGCAGCUAACGCAUUAAGCACUCCGCCUGGGGAGUACGGUCGCAAGACUGAAACUCAAAGGAAUUGACGGGGGCCCGCACAAGCGGUGGAGCAUGUGGUUUAAUUCGAAGCAACGCGAAGAACCUUACCAGGUCUUGACAUCCCAUUGGCCACUAUGGAGACAUAGUUUUCCCUUCGGGGACAACGGUGACAGGUGGUGCAUGGUUGUCGUCAGCUCGUGUCGUGAGAUGUUGGGUUAAGCCCCGCAACGAGCGCAACCCUUGUUCUUAGUUGCCAUCAUUUAGUUGGGCACUCUAAGGAGACUGCCGGUGACAAACCGGAGGAAGGUGGGGAUGACGUCAAAUCAUCAUGCCCCUUAUGACCUGGGCUACACACGUGCUACAAUGGACGGUACAAACGGUUGCCAACCCGCGAGGGGGAGCUAAUCCGAUAAAACCGUUCUCAGUUCGGAUUGUAGGCUGCAACUCGCCUACAUGAAC